This is a non-coding RNA of Physcomitrium patens, 1833 nucleotides long. NCBI's taxonomy places the organism in Eukaryota, Viridiplantae, Streptophyta, Bryopsida, Funariales, Funariaceae. The record is from RefSeq and is a predicted model, not a curated record.
UUUUCAACUGUGCAGGAAAACGCCUGUUCGAUAUGCUUCCACGAGGCCGCCCUUUUGCUCUCGAGAAAGUGUAGCCCUGGGUGCACAUAGAAUUUGUGGCAAACAAUUCACGGUGGAGGCGCCUCACAGUAGAUGUACAAUACACGCCAGAUGUGGCUGUUGCACACGGACGCAAAUGAAACAUCUCUUAGCUACUUCAACAUGAAGUACUCAUUAUCGGUCUCUUGAGAAUUCUCACAAGCAGUAGUGCAAUUUUACGCGUCAGCCACCAUUUCUAACUUGCAAGGCUUGUCUCCAUCUCUACCCUCAGACCCACUGAAAGUUGACAGUCGUGUGCUGAACCAGCAAGUCGUGUUGACACAGUAGACCAUGUUGGCAGGCAUAUCGAUAUGUUCAGUCCGGAGCUUUACAGGUUUCUAUAGCUGUCGAUAUGAAGACUGGAUACUUGCGCGAUUCUCUGCACCUUGCCCUGCUUACACUUUUUGGAGAUUGUCCUGGAAAGCGCUCAGAAAGGAUUCUGAGAAUAGUCGCCAUCUCCUCCACGCCUCACCAUUCCCAAAUUGAGAGGUCACUGUGCCGCACACCAUUCAAAGGCUAAGGUAGCUCUCCGCUAAAACUCUGGACAUCUUUGAAAACGUAGACAGGCGACACAUUGGUGAUGCUUCACAAUCACGGACCUUAGAUGACUUCAUUGUGUACUGUGAAUUGUUUAUUUCGAAGCGUCCUGGGAAAUGAAUUUGACUCUUCAGUGAUCUGAAUUCAAGCCAGCGGUCGUUAUUGCUCACCACAGCAAUUCACUAUUUGCAAGCGAUGCAACGAAUAUGUUACAUGAACUUGCACCAGCAGAGGUCUAACUCCACUCUGAUCAUCACAAAGUAGGUUCUGUUCACGCUACAAUCUCACAACACCAACACAGCAGUUUGGCGAAUGUUUCGAAAAUCAAAAGCUGUUGAUUUUGGAAAGUAGAUGAGAAGUGGCAAGUAGAGGUUGGUAGGGAGCGAGAACCGUUCGCCGGUGGCUUCAGCACUCGAUGUAUCCGCCAGACCCCAAAUCCUGCAUCCCUUCUUCGAGUCCCACUCAGAUCAAUUUACGAGCUCUCGAAGGCUCACGGAGUAGUUGGCGGUGACGCGGUGCAGUCAAUCAAGUUGAGAUUCCAGCACUUUGGGGAGGUAACAAAAGGAUAUUCUGCGUAGAUGGGGUGGAAUUUUGGCAUGGAAUUGUGCUAUCCUGGUCUGAAUCCAUUAUGAUGAGAAGGAUGAUUCUCGAGGUUGUUGUUGUUGUUGUUUGUUUGAUUUCUGAGUCUGUUUGCGUCACUCUCCAUAUUUGCGUGGAAUUGAGGAGCCUACAGUGUCUCCGUCCCUUUCUUUCUAUUCCUUUACCUGUCCUUUUAUAUAUUUGUAAACAAAUAUCUCCAGCUACUUGAAGUGAAGUGUAUACCUCAACUACUUUUAACAUCCUUCAGACCCAACAGCCUCUGGACAGGGAACAGGAACGCACGCAGAGCAAUUACACUGACACAAGGAGCAGAGGGGCACUCCACUUGACCAUCCAUUACAGAAAUAAGAGGCAUCGCCCCAUCCGAAUUACGACCCCAACAGGGCAUCAUGAUCCAAGGAGACACCGAAGGUAGGACACCACAAACCACUCGAGAAGGCCAUUUAGAUGGCCGUUUAGAUGAGGGUUUGUGUAUUGGGAGAAUUAUUCCAUAUAGUACACUAGUCUCUUAUAUAGAAUACUAUCCACGAAGUAUUGACCUUGUGACUCUUGGUGUCACUCUCAUACACACAAUGUAUUGGAUAAUAUUGAUCAUAUUAAUACACAUAAUGUUUCCAA